AUUGAACGCUGGCGGCAGGCCUAACACAUGCACGUCGAACGGUAGCACAGAGAGCUUGCUCUCGGGUGACGAGUGGCGGACGGGUGAGUAAUGUCUGGGAAACUGCCUGAUGGAGGGGGAUAACUACUGGAAACGGUAGCUAAUACCGCAUAAUGUCGCAAGACCAAAGAGGGGGACCUUCGGGCCUCUUGUCAUCGGAUGUGCCCAGGUGGGAUUAGUUAGUAGGUGGGGUAAUGGCUCACCUAGGCGACGAUCCCUAGCUGGUCUGAGAGGAUGACCAGCCACACUGGAACUGAGACACGGUCCAGACUCCUACGGGAGGAAGCAGUGGGGAAUAUUGCACAAUGGGCGCAAGCCUGAUGCAGCCAUGCCGCGUGUAUGAAGAGGGACUUCGGGUUGUAAAGUACUUUCAGCGAGGAGGAAGGCGUUGUGGUUAAUAACCGCAGUGAUUGACGUUACUCGCAGAAGAAGCACCGGCUAACUCCGUGCCAGCAGCCGCAGUAA
This 504-nucleotide ribosomal RNA is filed under the name uncultured bacterium. RNAcentral describes it as "partial 16S ribosomal RNA". It matches the Rfam family "Bacterial small subunit ribosomal RNA", at positions 30 to 523 of the family's 1533-position model. The record is from RNAcentral.